CAGCACACUGAGGAAAGAAGGAGCUAAACAAGAGCACAGACGUCAUUUCUCCCAUGAUGCUGUGAGCUGCUCCUCCUCAUCUCUUCGACACCAGUCGUUUUCCAAUCAACAGGAAGUCACACCGGGAGUCGAUGAAGUGUCAGCAGCUUGGUGUGAAUCACGUGUGUUUCUGUUCUCCCUUUACACAAAGUGAAAAGGAUCCUCUGACGAGAAGCGGCAGGAAGAACGAGCAUCUGUCACUCUGUGGAUUCAUCGGUGCUGAUGGUGGAGACGGACACGCCGGCUGCCUCGCAAUAAAAACCUCCCUGAGGUUCGUCAGCUGGUUUCUCCUCUGAUUAAACCUGCGAAACCUCGUUUCAACCUGCCGCUUCUCAUGAAGUCGGGGUGUGAUGUGCUUGUUUGUGGUGUUGCUCAGACUGAGCGGCAGAGAGAAGAGUCUCACUGUGGAUGUGAAAGAAUGAAGAGCAGCAGCAGACUGUUUGUCCCGCUCAGUCCAGACGGUCACACCACAACCUGAGACACAAAGACUCACAAACAACAACACAGUCACCACUGACGCAGGCCGGUUCAUCGUCCACCCUCCUUUAUAUCCCCGUCACUGCUCUGGUUUCAUGUUGGUGGGAGAUUAGUGACAUUAAAAUCAUGUUUUUUUAUUACUAUUAACUACAAACAUUAUCUAAUAUGCAAGAGAGGCGUUUUUCAGACAGUCAAACCUACAGCAUGAUUUCCAUCUUUCCAUUUGUGCCUGCAGGUUUGUGAAGUUCACAUCAGCAGUCGAACUAUAAAUUUUCUCCUCAUGGCUCCUGAAAAAUGUUGGUUUAUUUUGGAGCCAAUCAGAGAAUUCACCCGGCGCAGCACCCUCCACACAAAACGCCACAUGAUUGAAAGGCCCAGAAUCAAAGUCCAUCUGAUUAUGUGGAAGUCUGCUUCAGUUCAUAAGCUGAUUGAGGUACUUAUAAUAAACGACACGGCUCCUGUGCAGCUUUCGGGGGUUGUUUCCGCCUCUCUGACCUCCAGUGGAUUCGGACAAUAGAUGUGAUUUCGCUGCUCUCCUUCUUGGCGGCGGUGGAGAAAUGAAAAGGCAGUAAUCUGACAGCUGGGUCAGCGGCUCUCCACUCCUGCUUCACAUCGAGACAUUUAUAGGAAAAGAUCUGAGGUCGGUGCAGCGCCGUCAUGUUUCUCUGCCAGAUGUUAAAACUUAAAACUCAAAAGUGAUUCUGUUCCUCAAAUGUGACGUUUGAGCUUCAAUGCGCAGAACGACGUCUGAAGACUUUGACGCCACAAGUUUUCAUCGUCAGAACCAGAAUCACUGUUACUGAUCUCUGCGGGAGAAACUACGUCAGGAGGAAAGUUUGGAAGCAACUUCAUGAAGUCUGACGUGGGAACUUUGGUAUUUUACUUCGUCAGGUGCUCGAGGUUCAUUACUCUGAGAGUAUUUUUCUAGGAGCGUGACAUGUUGCAGCUUCUACGGCCGGCUGAGAAACGUUAAUUUGAGAUACACAAAUAAAACUGUAGAGCCGACUUUACAGCAUUCAGCGAUGCAGCACAGAACAGAAGAGUUUGUGUCAAAGUGCUGGGACACAUCUGGGGCGCAGGACUCGACCUCCCACAUGUUGAAUUAUGUAAAGGAACAGAGACUCUCAACCUCCUCUGUGUUUUCCAUGUCAACUGAAAACACUGAAUAAAAGAAACACGACUGUGACCUGCUGAAACCUGCUGCUGUCUUUCUGUUGCUUUUGUCCACACCAAUAAAAAUGAGCUGAUCCGACUCCCUGUUAGUGCUGCCAGUGUUUGUAGUGUCUUCUGAUUUUGUUCAAGGAUUUAUUUUCUUCAACAGACACUCAAGAGACUCAUCUGAGUCUGUUGUCACAUUGAAUGAGGGCAGAGACAUCAGAUAACUGUUUUCAUUUUGUGAGUCCUUCAGUAAUCAACUAUAAUUGUGUCACAUCUGAGUAGAUGUUUGUUACUGUGCUUAUAUGGGCGACUCUUUUUUAUGUGUGAAAGUUAAGAGAAGCCUGAAGAAUAAAUAAAAUGUUUCAGAUUUGAACAUUUGUGAGUUAGAAGG
This is a long non-coding RNA of Acanthopagrus latus (yellowfin seabream), 2065 nucleotides long. RefSeq lists it as uncharacterized. NCBI's taxonomy places the organism in Eukaryota, Metazoa, Chordata, Actinopteri, Spariformes, Sparidae. The transcript is spliced from 3 exons. The record is from RefSeq and is a predicted model, not a curated record.